RNAcentral lists this ribosomal RNA (721 nucleotides) under delta proteobacterium FM3-E1. Its description in RNAcentral is "bacterial SSU rRNA". It matches the Rfam family "Bacterial small subunit ribosomal RNA", at positions 92 to 793 of the family's 1533-position model. Lineage: Bacteria; Deltaproteobacteria. The record is from RNAcentral.
AGAGCGGCGCACGGGUGAGUAACGCGUGGAUGAUCUGCCCCCAAGACUGGGAUAACAGUUGGAAACGACUGCUAAUACCAGAUGUUCUUCAUUUUUCACCUUUUGAGGUAAAGGUGGCCUCUGCUUGCAUGCUACCGCUUGGGGAUGAGUCCGCGUCUCAUUAGUUUGUUGGUGGGGUAAUGGCCUACCAAGACUACGAUGAGUAGCUGGUCUGAGAGGAUGAUCAGCCACACUGGGACUGGAACACGGCCCAGACUCCUACGGGAGGCAGCAGUGGGGAAUAUUGCGCAAUGGGCGAAAGCCUGACGCAGCGACGUCGCGUGAGGGAAGAAGGCUCUCGGGUCGUAAACCUCUGUCAGGGGGGAAGAAACCCUUGGACUCGAAUAGGGUCCUUGGCUGACGGUACCCCCAGAGGAAGCACCGGCUAAUUCAGUGCCAGCAGCCGCGGUAAUACUGAAGGUGCGAGCGUUAAUCGGAAUCACUGGGCGUAAAGCGUGCGUAGGCGGCGCGGUCAGUCAGAUGUGAAAGCCCUCGGCUCAACCGAGGAAUUGCAUUUGAUACUGCCGUGCUAGAGUCUCGGAGAGGUUGGCGGAAUUCCAGGUGUAGGAGUGAAAUCCGUAGAUAUCUGGAGGAACAUCAGUGGCGAAGGCGGCCAACUGGACGAGUACUGACGCUGAGGUACGAAAGCGUGGGGAGCAAACAGGAUUAGAUACCCUGGUAG